CCCGCUGAACUUAAGCAUAUCAAUAAGCGGAGGAAAAGAAACCAACAGGGAUUGCCUUAGUAACGGCGAGUGAAGCGGCAAAAGCUCAAAUUUGAAAUCGGCCCCCAGGUCGAGUUGUAAUUUGUAGAUUGUAUCUUGAGAGCGGAUUAAAGUCUGUUGGAACACAGCGCCUUAGAGGGUGACAGCCCCGUAAAAUCUAUUCUCAUUGUAAGAUACUUUCGAAGAGUCGAGUUGUUUGGGAAUGCAGCUCUAAGUGGGAGGUAAAUUCCUUCUAAAGCUAAAUA
RNAcentral lists this ribosomal RNA (284 nucleotides) under Geotrichum candidum. RNAcentral describes it as "partial 28S ribosomal RNA". It matches the Rfam family "Eukaryotic large subunit ribosomal RNA", at positions 24 to 322 of the family's 3401-position model. The record is from RNAcentral. Lineage: Eukaryota; Fungi; Ascomycota; Dipodascomycetes; Dipodascales; Dipodascaceae.